GCAGUUGCAGUUGAUAAAUUCAAAUGUUAUGCUCUGCAUUUGCAUUUGUUGUUGUUGUUGUUGUUGUUGUUUUUGCCGUACACGUUGCAAGGGCUUGGACAGGGCAAAAUGGAACAGGAGAUUGGCACCUGGGACUCAGUUCUGCUGGAAAACCUGUCCGAGGAUAGCUUCAUAAGCAACAUACAUCAGCGUUACAAGCGCGACCAUAUAUAUACCUACAUUGGAACUUCUGUUGUGGCUUUGAAUCCAUAUCAUCACAUAUCUGAGCAUUCGUUGGAGAAUAUACGCAACUAUGGCAAUAAAGGCAUUUUUCAGCUGCCACCACACAUCUAUGGGCUUACCAAUUUGGCUUAUCAAUCUCUCAAGGAUCAGAGCGAGGAUCAGUGCGUGCUGCUCACUGGCGAGGGAGGCGCUGGCAAAACGGAGACCUUUAAAAUGAUUGUCAAUUUUCUUACACACAUACAGGAUCGUGCGCCUUGCACUGGCACCCCAAAUGAACUACGCAAGCAGUCCUCCGGCAGCUCGACGAGCGGCAUGGGCAUACAUGCCCACCGACGCGCCUCGAGCAGCUGCUCUGGCACCGCUAAUUUUAUCAUAUGCAAAAACAACGCAGCUUCCGCAAACAGUCAAGGCAGCACAUCCAAUUCACGUCGCCAGUCGCCGUCACCGGGUCCGGGUCCGGGGCCAGGUGCGAUACAGCGGUCGCGAAUGCGUGCCGAGAGCAUCGAACGCCAAGCCAGGCGCAACAUGCGUGAAAAAAUUGUUGACUUUGACUUUUCGCAUCACAAAAGCACUGAGAAUAUCAGCACGCUGCUGGAAUCGGCCGCUUCCCAUGGACAUUUGCAUCCAACGAAAUCAUGCUUCAAGCAUCAACAGAUACAAGUCAACACCUGCACUGCCACCUAUGGACCGCUGGCCGGGACGCCCUCGCGAACGGGCUCGUCCAGCACGUCGCCCAAGUACUUGCACGGCGGCUGCCGUCAGUGCGGCCACAGCAAAUGCACACGCGCCCAAAGCCUGGAGAAGGAGGAGCGCGACGCCGCUCUGAUAUUGCUGCGGGGCAGCAAUAGCCGCCUGUCUACUGCCAACCAACUGCAGCAACCGCAACGCGGUAGCUGUUCGAAUCUGGUGCGACAGCACUCAAACGAAAGCCAAGCGGAGCGACAGCUGUCCACUGGCUCCACGCAACGUAUAUCGCUGUACGAUGCACACAAGCUGAGCAAGGUGCUUGGCAGCGCUAAUGUUUCGCCCACGCCCUCGGCUAGCUCCUCGUUGCAUAGACGCCACAAGUCGCCCAGCUUGCGGCUGCGCGAGUGCGUCACCUGCGCGGAUGUCUUCCUGGAGGCCAUGGGCAAUGCCUGCACACUAAAGAACAACAACUCCAGCAGAUAUGGCAAACUGUUUGACAUUGAAAUCGACUUCAAGGGAGAUCCCAUGGGCGUGCACAUAACCCACUACUCGCAUCACGGAUACCAUGAUUGGCGAGCGCAAUUUUCACAUAUUUUAUCAGUUGCUGUUGGGCGCGGAUCUUCAGUUACUAAAAUCUCUGAAGUUGUUUCGCAAUGUGGAAAAGUAUGAACUGCUGCGGAAUACAACUGCCAUGGAAGAGGAUCGUGCCAACUUUCAUUACACAAAGCGUUCACUAGACGUGCUUGGUUUGAGCUGUGAUGAGACCAACUCUAUUUUUCGAGUUAUUGCCGUGGUCCUGAAGCUGGGCA
This 1718-nucleotide unclassified non-coding RNA is filed under the name Drosophila virilis. RNAcentral describes it as "GJ14530". The record is from RNAcentral. Lineage: Eukaryota; Metazoa; Arthropoda; Insecta; Diptera; Drosophilidae.